Molecule: ribosomal RNA, 97 nt
Filed under: Acanthosepion pharaonis
Lineage: Eukaryota; Metazoa; Mollusca; Cephalopoda; Sepiida; Sepiidae
Source: RNAcentral
ACGGCCACAUCACGUUGAAACGCCAGAUUCCGUACGAUCACAAAAGUUAAGCAACGUCGAGCCUGGUCAGUACCUAGAUGGCUGACUGCUGGGGAAU